CUUAACUCAACCAUCUUCGUUCCUCUUUUCAAUUAAAACCAAGCCAUAAAGCAUACCAUUUUCUUAUUCCUUUCCCUUCACUUUGCCAUAGAAUCCAACCAAGUAUAAGACUAAGGUCGAUUUGUUCAAUUGAGGAACAAGAAGUGCGAGACCGGGUUCAAAUUUUUACUUUGUGCACUUAUUGUUUAGCUAUAUAACUUUCAUAUACAUUCCCUGUAUCACUUAAAGAUAAUAAAAUGUAUAAAAUUUUGUUUCAAAUUUAAUUUUG
Molecule: long non-coding RNA, 268 nt
Filed under: Lupinus angustifolius (narrow-leaved blue lupine)
Lineage: Eukaryota; Viridiplantae; Streptophyta; Magnoliopsida; Fabales; Fabaceae
Description: long non-coding RNA (LANG_LNC002966)
Source: RNAcentral